AGACACCAGUCAAACAAAAACCCUUCAUCAAAACCGGUUUCGCUUGCUCUUUUCUGUUACUACCGUCAACAGCAGGUACGCAGGAAAAAUGACACGUGUUGUGCAUUUGUUGAAGAAAUAACUUUCGCCCCAAAAGAUGCCAUCGCUUCAUCAUACCCACCACCAACAACCGGCAUUCAGACACAUCAGUGCAUGAUUGUGGAAACUGGUAUUACCGCGCAAAGAACGCAAAGUACAAGGUCCUCCUUAGCCCCACCAGAAAAGAUAACCAAAACUCUUCCCUCAGGGCAUACAGCAAUCGCUCAGGCAAGCAUCGCUCCAUAAAGCCGUUCGAACAGUGCAAGCAUUUCUUGCCGUUGCAGGUCAAAUCGACGGUCAUGUUCAGCGGAUGUGAUUCAGGUUUCGCGUUCUGUCAGCGCGUGAAGAAAACGGAAGAUGUGUUACGAAGAGGUGCGAGUUAUACCAUUGUCUUUGUUUGAACGCCUGAUUGUCUUUUUGUCGCGUGGUGCCGAAUCACAUGCUGACCUGAGAUUUUAUGCCAUUUUAAAAACGCUUUCCCAAGCCUAGAAGGGGGAUGCGCACAAGGGAGAGUUUCGAAUAUGAUUUAAUCUUUUUUCCAAUACGAGCGUGCGGAUUGUUGUACCAAUAACUCUAGGCGGUAAGCGGCAAAACAACAAAUCAAACUUUAGCAGUUUUAGACACAGGCAGAUGGAAAAAAGCAAAAAAGAAACCACACAUAAAACACAAGCAUAUCAAUCGUGAUAAAGUGAACGAUUUUACCUCGUCGUCAUCGUAGUAGGUUUAGUUUCGGUACUCGGUAGGUGAUGGUGCUACACCCGCAGGAAAACAAUCGUAUGACGACGACGACGUCUUGCCACUCGCUCAACUUCGACUACAACAUUCGCGUCGCAGCAUUUCUCAUAAGAAAGUUUUAUCUCCACCCUUGUUUGCUUCACCACAAUCGCCCCCCCCGUUCCAUAACCGAUCGUGGGCCAAUAAGGUGAUUGGGUUCGUUUGUUCACCCGCAGCAGCAACAUCAGCAACAGUUCAUCAUGGCUUCCGCGGACCGUUUGGAGAAUGAUAGUUUGGCUCGGAGAUUGCGCAACAGCGAUGGUCGUUUUGGGUCGCCUUAUAUCUCGGAUUGUCGGGUCAGCUCGAACGUCGAGGCUAAUGUGGAAGCUCAACUAGUGGCUUUCUUGGCUGUUGGAAAAUGCGUUUGAAUCGGUGGAUGCGCGAACACCAAGCGAUAGAAAUCGGAAUAAGCGACGGAGAUAAGUAUGUGACAUUGGUGGUGAAUUGAUAAAGAGAUGUUGGAAAUGAGAAGAAAGCAAAGCCUGCCAGUGUGAUGUCACAUAUGAUAAAUAAUAUCGUCUUUUGUGGUUGCAUUCAUACGAAAACAAGAAUGAUGUAACAGUUCCGUGUGGAGAAAACUAUUUAAAGUUGCAACAAGCUGACUUCCAUCUCCAAAAACGUUCAUGUCGUGAAAAAAAUCGAAUGUUCGUGUCCCAAAACAAAUGGCUUUCUGUCCGCAUGAUUUAAAAAAAAAAUUAAUUAGAAUUUAAUAUUAUCAGUAACAAGGUUGUGCUGGUUGUGCUGUAUGUUAAUAAGGAAAGCAAGAUGUCUUCAGAGGAAUCUCAUAACAUUUAUGUCUUCUUCCUGCGGCAGUGCGAGUGCGUUGGUGCAGUGUUCCUAACACAGGGUCGUGAAAUAAAACGGCUAGCCAGAAAGGGAGCACGAAAUCUUACAUUUAUUUAAAGGGCCAUUUUCCACGCGUUGCAACACCACGCAUAACCGACAGAUAUGCUCCACGACCACACCAGGACAGUAACCCGCAUCAAACCCGCAGCAACAGGAACAUAAUAUAGAGAAGAUUUUAAAAUUGAUCGCCAUGCCAUAGGUCCUCGACAACGGCGCUGCCAUUUUCGCAUCGGGGUUUUGCCGACUGAGUAGCUUCCGCUCUAGUAAAAGACACCACAUUCACUUACAGAGACGAAGGAAGAGAUAUAAAAUCACCAGUCUCCAAGAAGAUAGCAAAGAAGAGCAUCAAACAUUACAGACGCUUAAUUCUUUCCGGGACACGCGACGUCGUUUGGCGUCCGAGUUGCAGGUUUCUGUUGUUGCUGCGGGAAUACUUAUUGUCAGCAUUCGCCAAGAUACCAACGGAGAGCUUGGAACGUCUGGAAAUUGCAUCAGCAUUUCGAGGUAGAAAGGAAACGUUUUUUGGAGAUAUGGAAAAAACAGUGACACGUAACGUGAAAAUUACUCCUCAUUUACACUUUAUGGGACUGCCACCUACUCGCCUUAAGGGUGGUAAGAGUAAGAUGCAGAGGAAGACGGGAAGUAAGUACGCAAAGGAUUGGGCGGUCUUUUGUUAACAAUUUUCAACCAUCAAACUGUAACUGGAACUUAAGCAAGCAAAAGACCCACCACCGAGCACGUUGUCGCAUGGACUGAGUCCUUCCCUGCCGUGUGCGCCAAAAGGGUAAAGUAAAUGAGUAAACGAAAAAAAGAAGUUAAGAAACGAACUUACGACCUGCUGUAUCCACGAUAAAAUAUUUUACCACCGUGCCAUGGAAGGCUUAAAUAAGAGCAGUGGCAUGUGCGCUAUCCAUAGAGCUGCAAUCAAAAUGGUUCGGGCCUAAAAUAACAGAGAAGCGGAACGGUUAAAGGGUGAAAUUUAAAAUUUGAAUUGCUUUCCUAUAAUUUACAGUAUAAACCCGUUGAA
Anopheles merus is the source of this 2725-nucleotide long non-coding RNA. RefSeq lists it as uncharacterized. Lineage: Eukaryota; Metazoa; Arthropoda; Insecta; Diptera; Culicidae. The transcript is spliced from 3 exons. The record is from RefSeq and is a predicted model, not a curated record.